RNAcentral lists this ribosomal RNA (274 nucleotides) under uncultured bacterium. RNAcentral describes it as "partial 16S ribosomal RNA". It matches the Rfam family "Bacterial small subunit ribosomal RNA", at positions 523 to 796 of the family's 1533-position model. The record is from RNAcentral.
AUACGGAGGGCGCAAGCGUUGCCCGGAAUCACUGGGUGUAAAGGGUGCGUAGGCGGGGCUGUAAGUCAGAGGUGAAAGCCCUCGGCUCAACCGGGGAAUUGCCUCUGAUACUGCAGCUCUUGAGUCCCGGAGAGGCCGCUGGAAUUCCUGGUGUAGCGGUGAAAUGCGUAGAUAUCAGGAGGAACACCGGAGGCGAAGGCGGGCGGCUGGACGGGGACUGACGCUGAGGCCCGAAAGCGUGGGGAGCAAACAGGAUUAGAAACCCUAGUAGUCC